Long non-coding RNA from Haliotis rubra (blacklip abalone), 1360 nucleotides. RefSeq lists it as uncharacterized. Lineage: Eukaryota; Metazoa; Mollusca; Gastropoda; Lepetellida; Haliotidae. The record is from RefSeq and is a predicted model, not a curated record. The transcript has 2 exons.
CAGUACAGUACAGUCUGUCAACCUGAUACACAAUUCCCCAAUGCUAUGACAGUACAGUACAGUCUGUUGAAACUUAGUACAAUUUGAAAUACUAUUUUGACAGUACAGUACAGUCUGUUACCUUCAUACAUUGUUACUGUGGAGUAUCGGCUCAAAACACCUUAAAAGUUAUAGCAAGCACUUAGGUUACAUCUUAGAUUAUAGCAAGCACUUAGGUUACAUCUUAGAUUAUAGCAAGCACUUAGGUUACAUCUUAGAAUAUAGCAAGCACUUAGUUAGUAAAUCAAACAGAAGAAGAAAGGUGAAGGUACGUGACCUUUUCUUCAUAUUUUGUUAGCCAGUUAGGGUUAGGUUAGGGAUAGGUUAGGGCUAGGGUUAGGGAUAGGUUUUUUAUUCUUACAGCCUAAACUUGACUACGAUGAUUCUUCACGCGAGUUUUUCGAUGGAAUCACGUCUGCACGUGUUUAUUUAAUCGCGUCUUCACGUGUUUAUUUUAUCGCGUCUUCACGUGUUUAUUUUAUCGCGUCUUCAUGUUUUUAUUUAAUCGCAUCAAGUGGGAAGAUAUUUCAAUUGGAGUUGGCCACUGUCAUCUGGGUAAGCCACAUUUGUUUUUUUUCAAUUGUUUCAUCAAAAAUAUAUAAUAUCAAGCUGGUUCUAAUGGCUGUCCAUAAAUGCCAUGACAACUUUUAACCUUCGACUAAAGAUCAGGUAAUAUCUAUACUAUUGCUAUUAUGUCCACAAAUGAAUGUGUAAGUAUAUAAAUGUUUGUUCUUAUUGCAGCCAUUACCUUUAGAAAACCUAACACACAGGAUUAAGCAAGCAGUUCCAUGAAGGAAGAAAGUGUUUCUGCCUUUAAUUGAUGGCAAAUGUCAUAUGGGAGAAAAGCAAGGCACUUGGUAAGCAUCAAUGGAUAUCAGGUAUACUAGAGAUGUUAAAUCCAAUUUGUUGGAGUUAUUUAGCAGUGUAAAGCAUUGCCUUUUAGGAAAUGAAAUAUAGUCAAAGUGACAAUCAUUUCUAUAAUGGUAAUGUGAACUGACAUUUUUCGCGCGAAAACUUGUUAAAUCCACUGCAUUACGUGAUCAUUUAACGCGUCGAAGCAGAAGAUAUUUGCAGUGGUGGUGUCCCCUGUUAUCUUGGUAAGCAACAUUUUUUCAUACAUUCAUCUAAAACAACAAUGAUGUAGCAAUUAUUUUAUAAAUGUAAGUCCAUAAAUGACAUACUAUACUUAAAAUACACAAAGUAAUAUCCAUUAUGCUUUUAAAUUGCAUUGAGUAGAUUAUGUAUCUCACAAGACAAGUGACAUACCCUCUAGAAUUUUUAUUGUUUCUUCUUUUUUCAGGCAUUACCUAUGGUUCCCAAG